This 406-nucleotide ribosomal RNA is filed under the name uncultured bacterium. RNAcentral's name for it is "partial 16S ribosomal RNA". It matches the Rfam family "Bacterial small subunit ribosomal RNA", at positions 29 to 526 of the family's 1533-position model. The record is from RNAcentral.
AUUGAACGCUGGCGGCAGGCCUAACACAUGCAAGUCGAGCGAUCGGCGGACGGGUGCGUAAUGUCUGGGAAACUGCCUGAUGGAGGGGGAUAACUACUGGAACCGGUAGCUAAUACCGCAUACCAUCAGAUGUGCCCAGAUGGGAUUAGCUAGUAGGUGGGGUACCGGCUCACCUAGGCGCCGUGCCCUAGCUGGGCUGAGAGGAUGACCAGCCACACGGGAACGGAGACACGGUCCAGACUCCUACGGGAGGCAGCAGUGGGGAAUAUUGCACAAGGGGCGCAAGCCUGAUGCAGCCAUGCCGCGUGUGGGAAGAAGGCCUUCGGGUUGUAAAGCACUUUCAGCGGGGAGGCGUUACCCGCAGAAGAAGCACCGGCUAACUCCGUGCCAGCAGCCGCGGUAAUUC